AUUAAACGCUGGCGGCAUGCCUUACACAUGCAAGUCGAACGGCAGCACGGGGCAACCUGGUGGCGAGUGGCGAACGGGUGAGUAAAGCAUCGGAACGUGCCCUGGAGUGGGGGAUAACGUAGCGAAAGUUACGCUAAUACCGCAUAUUCUGUGAGCAGGAAAGCAGGGGAUCGCAAGACCUUGCGCUCUGGGAGCGGCCGAUGUCGGAUUAGCUAGUUGGUGGGGUAAAGGCCUACCAAGGCGACGAUCCGUAGCGGGUCUGAGAGGAUGAUCCGCCACACUGGGACUGAGACACGGCCCAGACUCCUACGGGAGGCAGCAGUGGGGAAUUUUGGACAAUGGGCGGAAGCCUGAUCCAGCCAUGCCGCGUGAGUGAAGAAGGCCUCGGUUGUAA
Molecule: ribosomal RNA, 394 nt
Filed under: uncultured bacterium
Lineage: Bacteria
Description: bacterial SSU rRNA
Rfam family: Bacterial small subunit ribosomal RNA
Source: RNAcentral